GGGCGAGUGGCGGAAUGGUAUACGCGACAGUCUCAAAAACUGUUAGUUGUAAUGACUAUAAGGGUUCGAGUCCCUUCUCGCCCA
Molecule: transfer RNA, 84 nt
Filed under: Candidatus Levyibacteriota bacterium
Lineage: Bacteria; Candidatus Levyibacteriota
Description: tRNA-Leu
Rfam family: tRNA
About the family: Transfer RNA (tRNA) molecules are approximately 80 nucleotides in length. Their secondary structure includes four short double-helical elements and three loops (D, anti-codon, and T loops).
Source: RNAcentral